ACGAAGCGUGAGUGACGGUAAUGGGUAAAGAAGCACCGGCUAACUACGUGCCAGCAGCCGCGGUGAUACGUAGGGUGCGAGCGUUGUCCGGAUUUAUUGGGCGUAAAGGGCUCGUAGGUGGUUGAUCGCGUCGGAAGUGUAAUCUUGGGGCUUAACCCUGAGCGUGCUUUCGAUACGGGUUGACUUGAGGAAGGUAGGGGAGAAUGGAAUUCCUGGUGGAGCGGUGGAAUGCGCAGAUAUCAGGAGGAACACCAGUGGCGAAGGCGGUUCUCUGGGCCUUUCCUGACGCUGAGGAGCGAAAGCGUGGGGAGCGAACAGGCUUAGAUACCCUGGUAGUCCACGCUGUAAACGGUGGGUACUAGGUGUGGGGUCCAUUCCACGGGUUCCGUGCCGUAGCUAACGCUUUAAGUACCCCGCCUGGGGAGUACGGCCGCAAGGCUAAAACUCAAAG
This 451-nucleotide ribosomal RNA is filed under the name uncultured bacterium. RNAcentral's name for it is "bacterial SSU rRNA". It matches the Rfam family "Bacterial small subunit ribosomal RNA", at positions 458 to 906 of the family's 1533-position model. The record is from RNAcentral.